UUUUGUUUGGAGAGUUUGAUCCUGGCUC
RNAcentral lists this ribosomal RNA (28 nucleotides) under Mycobacteroides chelonae. RNAcentral's name for it is "partial 16S ribosomal RNA". The record is from RNAcentral. Lineage: Bacteria; Bacillati; Actinomycetota; Actinomycetes; Mycobacteriales; Mycobacteriaceae.